Molecule: ribosomal RNA, 4338 nt
Filed under: Triticum aestivum (bread wheat)
Lineage: Eukaryota; Viridiplantae; Streptophyta; Magnoliopsida; Poales; Poaceae
Description: partial small subunit ribosomal RNA
Source: RNAcentral
AUGGAGGCGGCGCUGGAGGCGGCGCGCGCCAAGGACACCAAGGAGCGGCUGGCCGGGGUGGAGCGCCUGCACGAGGCGCUCGACGCGGCGGCCCGCCGCGGCCUCUCCCCGGCCGAGGUCACCUCGCUGGUGGACACCUGCGUGGAUCUGACGCGGGACGCCAACUUCCGCGUCGCACAGGGGGGCCUGCAGGCGCUCUCCGCCGCCGCCGUGCUCGCCGGGGACCACUUCAAGAUCCACCUCAACGCGCUCGUCCCCGCCGCCGUCGAGCGCCUCGGCGACGGCAAGCAGCCCGUCCGCGAGGCCGCGCGCCAGCUCCUCGUCACGCUCAUGGAGGUUUCUUCACCAACAAUCAUUCUUGAAAGGGCCGGAAAUUAUGCAUGGACUCAUAAGAGUUGGAGGGUUCGGGAAGAGUUCGUACUUACAGUGGCAACUGCAGUUGGGCUUUUCGCUUCUACGGAGCUUCUCAUGCAAAGAGUUUUACUCUCACCCGUCUUGCAGUUGAUGAAUGAUUCGAACCAAAGUGUCAGAGAAGCUGCUAUAUCUUGUAUUGAGGAAAUGUACAAGAACAUGGGAUCUCAGUUCCACGAAGAGUUGCAGCGCCAUAAUCUGCCUACAUACAUGCUAAAAGAAAUAAAUUCAAGAUUGAAUAGAAUUGAACCGAAGGUUCCCGCAUCUGAUGGUACUGCAACACAGCAUAAAGUUGCAGCAUCUAGAUCCGUUAGUGUUAACCCCAAAAGAGGCAGCCCACGGACAAAAAGCACACCGAGGGAAAGCACAUUAUUUGGAGGUGACACUGAUAUAACUGAAAAACCAGUGGAACCAGUAAGAGUCCACUCAGAGAAAGAAUUACUACGGGAGUUUGAGAAGAUUGCAGCCACUCUUGUUCCAGAGAAGGACUGGUCAGUUCGUAUUGCUGCCAUGCAAAGGAUUGAAGCACUGGUUUAUGGAGGAGCUAUUGAUUACCCAUCGUUUCUGACACUCUUGAAGCAGCUGAUUCCUCCAUUGUCUACUCAGCUAGCUGAUCGACGGUCUACCAUUGUAAAACAGGCAUGCCAUUUACUUAAUGUGCUGUCCAAAGAACUCCUUGGUGACUUUGAGCCAUGUGCUGAACAAUUUAUUCCGAUGCUUUUUAAGCUUGUUGUCAUAACUGUGCUUGUCAUUGCUGAAUCUUCAGACACCUGCAUAAAAACUAUCCUGCGAAACUGCAAGGUUGCACGAAUUCUUCCUCGUGUAGCUGACACAGCCAAGAACGACCGAAGCGCAAUUCUCCGUGCUAGGUGCUGCGAAUACGCGCUUCUAAUAUUGGAAUAUUGGGCUGAUGCCCCGGAAAUACAACGAUCAGCUGAUUUAUAUGAAGAUCUAAUAAAGUGCUGUGUAGCAGAUGCUAUGAGUGAGGUCCGUUCAACUGCAAGAACUUGCUACAGAAUGUUCACGAAGACAUGGCCUGAGCGCUCUCGCCGUCUUUUUAUGCAAUUUGAUCCUGCUAUACAGAGGACAAUAAAUGAUGAGGAUGGUGUGCACAAACGUUAUGCUUCUCCCUCACUUCGUGAGAAGGUUCUGCAGCCUUCUCGCACUUCAUCUCAUGCAAGUGGCACUCAUAUGCCUGGAUAUGGCACUUCAGCUAUUGUUGCAAUGGACAAGAGUGCAGCUAUUUCUUCAGAUUCAUCUCUGCCAUCAAACCAUCUUCGUUUAUCACAGUCAAAGACGACCAGCAGAGUUUCUGAUAGAAGCCUAGAAAGUGUGCUCAGUUCAAGCAAAGAAAAGGUUUCUGCUAUUGAAAGUUUGCUGAAAGGUGUUAGCAUAUCAGAUAGGCAAAAUUUCUCAGUUGCACGCUCAACAAGCUUGGACCUUGGGGUUGAUGCUCCAUCAUCUCGCGAUCCUCCUGUUCCUCUUGCAGCACCAGCUUCAAAUCAUCUAUCUCUGCAGAACUCAGCAUUCUUGGAUUCAACCAUUCCUAGCAUCAAAAGUUCUAGUACACGAAAUGGAGGUUCCCGCGCAUUGGAUACAAUGACAACACAGUUGGCCACCAAAGAGCGAUCGAGGUCACCAUAUUUGAGUAAUCUAUCAUCCGAGUCCAUGACAGGCUUAUCACUGCCUUAUGUAAGAAGAUCUUCAGAGAGGCUUCAAGACGGAGGCCACAUGGAUGAGAGUAAUGAUCUGCGGUCAACCAGGCGGUUUCCUCAAAUGCACACAGAAAAAAACUAUGUUGAUAUGCCUUAUAGGGAUGCUGCUGCUCACAGAGAUUCACAUAAUAACAAUGUCCCGAAUUUCCAGAGACCUCUUCUAAGAAAGCAAGUAAUGUCAAGGCCUUCUGCAAGUAGCCGGGACAGGUUUGAUGAUAGUCAAGUACCUUCUAAUGAUGUAUCUAGAUAUACAGAUACUCUGGCUACUCUACACGAUGCACUUUCUGAGGGUCUCAAUCCUAGUUCUGACUGGGUAGCAAGAGUCUCUGCUUUUGAUUUUAUUCGGAAUGUAGUGCAACAAGGUCAGAGAGGUACUCAAGAAAUUAUUCAGAAUUUUGAAAAGGUCAUGAAGCUAUUUUUCCGCCAUCUGGAUGAUCCUCAUCAUAAGGUUGCACAAGCCGCUUUCUCUACGCUUGCAGAGAUUAUUCCUGCUUGCAAGAAGCCAUUUGAGAGUUAUGUCGAAAGAAUUUUGCCACAUGUCUUUUCCCGCCUUAUUGAUCCAAAAGAGUUGGUAAAAAAACCAUGUUCUUUGACUUUGGAGAUUGUUGGUCGAUUAUAUGCUAUCGAUAUGUUGCUACCUGCCCUAGUACGCUCACUAGAUGAACAGAGGUCGCCAAAGGCAAAGCUGGCUGUUAUUGAAUUUGCAAACAGAUCGUUCAGUAAGUACACGGUAGAUUCUGAAGGUUAUAGUAACAGCGGCUUCCUUAAGCUAUGGCUUUCAAAAUUGGCACCUUUAGUGAAUGAAAAGAAUGCAAAACUGAAGGAGGCAUCUAUUUCUGGUAUCAUAUCUGUGUAUUCUCAGUUUGACUCUACGGCAGUGUUAAAUUUUAUUUUAAGUUUAUCAGUUGAAGAGCAAAACCUAUUGAGGCGUGCCCUGAAGCAAAAAACACCUCGUAUUGAGGUUGAUCUGGUGAACUACUUGCAGAGCAAGAAAGAACGGCCACGCCCUAAAUCUUAUGACCAGGCAGAUUUUGGAACUUCUUCCGAAGAUGGUUAUGCACAGACAUUGAAGAAGAGCUAUCCUUUUGGGCGGUAUUCUUCUAGUUCCCUUGACGCUGAAGUGGGAAAGAGGACCACUACAGUGCAAGAACCAACAUUACAUAAUGUCUCUAUGGCCCGAACAACUUCAGAUAUGAGUGCCGGUACUAAUCAAAGCCUGGAACCGGCCUCAGGAACUGAAGUAUUUUUAAAUAGAAGUAGAGAAUCAAAGAAUAAUAUUAGCUCAGCUGUGGAAGAUAAUCGUUCUUGGACAAACUACCCUGAAAAAACCGAUGCCUCCUUAGAUGGUGAAACCGCUAUGAGCACUCCGCGCUUGGAUUUCAGCCAACUGCACAGCCCUGAUGGGCAUAAUGCUGUUGGUUCAACUACAGGAAAAGAUGUUCAAGAGACAGAUAUGGUUGUAAACCUUAGUUCUAUAAAGACCAGCAUCCAUGCUGACAACGGCUUGAGCAUACCACAACUUCUUCAUCAGAUAAGCACCGAUACAGAAAUAUCAAGUUUGGAAAAGCACGAAGCAUUACAACAGUUGAUUAAGGCUUCGCUUGGUAAUGACAGCUCCAUUUGGUCAAAGUAUUUCAAUCAAAUAUUAAUGACCGUACUUGACGUGCUGGGUGACUCCGAUCCAUCUACUAGGGAGAUUGCUUUGUCUUUAAUUGCUGAGAUGCUCAACAAUCAGAAAGACGCUAUGGAAGAAUCUAUUGAGAUUGUUCUUGAAAAACUUCUGCAUGUGACGAAAGAUGUGGUGGCAAAGAUUUCAAAUGAAGCGAACAGAUGCAUAAAUGUUUUGUUGGCAAAAUACGAUCCUUUCAGAUGUCUUGCUGUUGUAGUACCUCUUUUGGUCAGUGAUGAUGAAAAGAUGCUCGUUGUGUGUAUCAACUGUUUGACAAAGCUUGUCGCGCACCUUCCCCAAGAGGAAUUGAUGGAUCAGCUGCCUACAUUUUUGCCAGCACUGUUUGAUGCUUUUAGUAACCAAAGUCCAGAUGUUCGAAAGAGUGUUGUAUUCUGCUUGGUGGACAUCUACAUCAUGCUGGGGAAAGCGUUUGUGCCGUACCUGGAAGGGCUGAGCAGCACACAGCUGCGCUUGGUGACCAUCUACGCGAACCGGAUUUCGCAGGCAAGGUCCGGCACGGCGAUUGACAGCGCUAACCAAUGA